Molecule: long non-coding RNA, 446 nt
Filed under: Sinocyclocheilus anshuiensis
Lineage: Eukaryota; Metazoa; Chordata; Actinopteri; Cypriniformes; Cyprinidae
Description: lncRNA (ENSSANG00000038801.1)
Source: RNAcentral
CAUAUUUUGGUUAUUUAGUUAGUUUUCAUUGCAGUGAUGGCUAAUGGCAUCUAAUCUUACCACUGUUUGACUCAAGAGUGAUGAUUCUCUGUUUUGUCUUCUGUCAAUGUGCAAGUGUUCACCCUGAACCAGACAAACGCCCUGCAGAUCCCAUCCAAUCCACAGACCCUUCAGAGCCACAUGCAGCUGCCGCCCGUACAGGGAAACAACAGGUUCAGGGUUCCUGUGUCGCAUCAGAUGUCUUCAGUACCCUUGUCAUCUCACCAAAACACUCCCAAACUCCCCAGAUACUCCAGCCAUCCCAGGACAUCCCACCCUGACAGUUUCUCUGCCGAUGUCCAGACCGUGUUCUCAUACGGUGACUCACCGCAGGCUGCCAAACACAUUCCUCCCUGUUCCAUGAUGCAGAUGCCCAUGUUUGAGGACAAUCUGGGCUCCUCAGACCU